AGAAGCGGUUCAGGCCAGAGAGAAGAACGGCCCAGGGCGGGGGUCGUAGAAACAGUGGAUGUCCUGGAAAUCUUCAAAUAGGAAAAGCUACUCAGCUUCUCUUUUAGAUAACCAGUACUGCUAGUUUCCAAGUAAGAUCGACCAAACCUUCAUGUAGUUGUGACAUGGUUUUCGGAUUCGCUUUGUUCCCAAUGCUUCGAGGAUCCACUCUUUGGGCAAGCGACCCAGUCAGGAGAGAACCACUGCAGAGGCUGCCCAGCAUUCCUCCAGGAAAGAGCAUCAGGAGGGAACUCUUCCCUCAGGCAGCGGGAGGGCCCUGCUCACCAGUAAGAAGGGGUGGACUCUGAAGGUGCUUUCAGACUGACUCCUUCGAAUUAGCAGUGGUGUCAGCCAGGAGAAAGAGGGGGAGAGGGCCAGGGUCUUAGCUAGGGAGCCCUGCUCUACACAGUGUCCUCUUUAUCACAGUUUUGGGCAUCGAUGACAUCAUCGAUGAGUUAUUACAAUGAGCUAUUGGUCCUUCCUAUUGGU
Phacochoerus africanus (Common warthog) is the source of this 528-nucleotide long non-coding RNA. RefSeq lists it as uncharacterized. The record is from RefSeq and is a predicted model, not a curated record. Lineage: Eukaryota; Metazoa; Chordata; Mammalia; Artiodactyla; Suidae. The transcript is spliced from 3 exons.